GUUGAAGCAUGAUCGCAAGGACAUGUGGAGCGCUUAGAAGUGAGAAUGCCGGUGUGAGUAGCGAAAGACGGGUGAGAAUCCCGUCCACCGAUUGACUAAGGUUUCCAGAGGAAGGCUCGUCCGCUCUGGGUUAGUCGGGUCCUAAGCUGAGGCCGACAGGCGUAGGCGAUGGAUAACAGGUUGAUAUUCCUGUACCACCAUUAUUCGUUUUAAGCGAUGGGGGGACGCAGUAGGAUAGGCGAAGCGUGCUGUUGGAGUGCACGUCCAAGCAGUGAGAUUGAGUGUUAGGCAAAUCCGGCACUCUUAAGAUUGAGCUGUGAUGGGGAGAGGAACUUGUUCCUCGAGUCGUUGAUUUCACACUGCCGAGAAAAGCCUCUAGCUAGAAUAACGGUGCCCGUACCGCAAACCGACACAGGUAGUCAAGAUGAGAAUUCUAAGGUGAGCGAGCGAACUCUCGUUAAGGAACUCGGCAAAAUGACCCCGUAACUUCGGGAGAAGGGGUGCUCUUUGAGGUUCACGCUUCGAAGAGCCGCAGUGAAUAGGCCCAAGCGACUGUUUAUCAAAAACACAGGUCUCUGCUAAACCGUAAGGUGACGUAUAGGGGCUGACGCCUGCCCGGUGCUGGAAGGUUAAGAGGAGUGGUUAGCGCAAGCGAAGCUACGAAUCGAAGCCCCAGUAAACGGCGGCCGUAACUAUAACGGUCCUAAGGUAGCGAAAUUCCUUGUCGGGUAAGUUCCGACCCGCACGAAAGGCGUAACGAUUUGGGCACUGUCUCAACGAGAGACUCGGUGAAAUCAUAGUACCGGUGAAGAUGCCGGUUACCCGCGACAGGACGGAAAGACCCCGUGGAGCUUUACUGUAGCCUGAUAUUGAAAUUCGGUACAGUUUGUACAGGAUAGGUAGGAGCCUUAGAAGCGUGAGCGCUAGCUUACGUGGAGGCAUUGGUGGGAUACUACCCUAAUUGUAUUGGAUUUCUAACCCGCAGCACUUAUCGUGCUGGGAGACAGUGUCAGGCGGGCAGUUUGACUGGGGCGGUCGCCUCCUAAAGAGUAACGGAGGCGCUCAAAGGUUCCCUCAGAAUGGUUGGAAAUCAUUCAUAGAGUGUAAAGGCAUAAGGGAGCUUGACUGCGAGACCUACAAGUCGAGCAGGGUCGAAAGACGGACUUAGUGAUCCGGUGGUUCCGCAUGGAAGGGCCAUCGCUCAACGGAUAAAAGCUACCCCGGGGAUAACAGGCUUAUCUCCCCCAAGAGUUCACAUCGACGGGGAGGUUUGGCACCUCGAUGUCGGCUCAUCGCAUCCUGGGGCUGUAGUCGGUCCCAAGGGUUGGGCUGUUCGCCCAUUAAAGCGGUACGCGAGCUGGGUUCAGAACGUCGUGAGACAGUUCGGUCCCUAUCCGUCGUGGGCGUAGGAAAUUUGAGAGGAGCUGUCCUUAGUACGAGAGGACCGGGAUGGACAUACCUCUGGUGUACCAGUUGUCGUGCCAACGGCAUAGCUGGGUAGCUAUGUAUGGACGGGAUAAGUGCUGAAAGCAUCUAAGCAUGAAGCCCCCCUCGAGAUGAGAUUUCCCAACUUCGGUUAUAAGAUCCCUCAAAGAUGAUGAGGUGAAU
Molecule: ribosomal RNA, 1608 nt
Filed under: Staphylococcus pseudintermedius
Lineage: Bacteria; Bacillati; Bacillota; Bacilli; Caryophanales; Staphylococcaceae
Description: partial 23S ribosomal RNA
Rfam family: Bacterial large subunit ribosomal RNA
Source: RNAcentral